Molecule: ribosomal RNA, 284 nt
Filed under: Segatella copri DSM 18205
Lineage: Bacteria; Pseudomonadati; Bacteroidota; Bacteroidia; Bacteroidales; Prevotellaceae
Description: Prevotella copri DSM 18205 partial 16S ribosomal RNA
Rfam family: Bacterial small subunit ribosomal RNA
Source: RNAcentral
UCUUUUCCUUUUGUGCCAGCAGCCGCGGUAAUACGGAAGGUCCGGGCGUUAUCCGGAUUUAUUGGGUUUAAAGGGAGCGUAGGCCGGAGAUUAAGCGUGUUGUGAAAUGUAGACGCUCAACGUCUGCACUGCAGCGCGAACUGGUUUCCUUGAGUACGCACAAAGUGGGCGGAAUUCGUGGUGUAGCGGUGAAAUGCUUAGAUAUCACGAAGAACUCCGAUUGCGAAGGCAGCUCACUGGAGCGCAACUGACGCUGAAGCUCGAAAGUGCGGGUAUCGAACAGG